RNAcentral lists this long non-coding RNA (210 nucleotides) under Pan troglodytes (chimpanzee). RNAcentral's name for it is "long non-coding RNA NONPTRT006832". The record is from RNAcentral. Lineage: Eukaryota; Metazoa; Chordata; Mammalia; Primates; Hominidae.
UCUACAGAAAAAUUAAAAGUUAGCCAGACAUGGUGGCAUGUGCCUGUGUUCCUAGUUACUCAGGAGGCUAAGGUGGGAGGAUCGCUUGAGCCCAGGAACUUGAGGCUGCAGUGAUGGAAGGGGGUGAAGUCAGCCUGGAGGCACUGCCUGCUGAGGGUCUUGGCAGACAGUGGUGGCCAGAGGAAGGGGGGCUGCCCCUUGCUGUGUACC